This 825-nucleotide ribosomal RNA is filed under the name Montenegrina rugilabris welterschultesi. Its description in RNAcentral is "partial 16S ribosomal RNA". Lineage: Eukaryota; Metazoa; Mollusca; Gastropoda; Stylommatophora; Clausiliidae. The record is from RNAcentral.
UAUUUUAGUUUAAGUAACAUAUCCCGAAAACAUAAGAUCUAAGUGUGGUAUUAGUUUUAGGUUAAAUUUAAAGUGCUGUAGCAUUAGCUCAUAAUAAAUAGUAUCUUAGUGGUGAAAGGCCUUCAAUUAUGUUGAUAGCUGGAUAGUUAUUAAAUAUAUCAAGUUUAUAAUAAAUUUAUGAGGUGAUAAGAUUUCAUAGUAAGAAUUUAAUGUAUAACUAUAAUGUGCUAUUAAUUAAUCCUUAACAGUAUUUACCCUUAGUAAAAUAAUUUUACAUAACAAAUAUUCCCUAAUAAUAACUAACUUAAUUUAAUUAAAUAUAAAUUUAAUAAUGUAUAAAUAAGUAUAUUAAUAUAAAUUUAACUAAAUAAACUCGGCAAAUAUUAUAUACGACUGUUUAACAAAAACAUAGCCGGUAGUUAUUAUAUUAUUGGUGUGACCUGCCCGGUGAAUUUUUAACGGCCGCAGUACUAUGACUGUGCAAAGGUAGCAUAAUCAUUUGACUUUUAAUUGAAGUCUGGUAUGAAAGGAUAAACGUAUAUAGGCUGUAUCUAGUUGUAAAUUUAUGUAAAUUAUUUAUAGGGUGAAAAUACCCUAAGUAAGAAAAAUAGACGAGAAGACCCUUAGAAUUUUAAGAAAAAGUAUAAAUUAAUAUAAUAUGAUUUUUGUUGGGGCAACAUUUUUUCAUAUAAUAAAAAAUAAAUAUUUUUACAUAACGAAAAGUUUAAUAAAGAAAAAAUUACCUUAGGGAUAACAGCAUAAUUUUAAUUAAAGAUUGUGACCUCGAUGUUGGACUAGGAACUAUUAAGGCUAGUCGUUUUAAUA